UCGGCUUAACCGGAGAAGUGCAUCGGAAACUGGAUAACUUGAGUGCAGAAGAGGGUAGUGGAACUCCAUGUGUAGCGGUGGAAUGCGUAGAUAUAUGGAAGAACACCAGUGGCGAAGGCGGCUACCUGGUCUGCAACUGACGCUGAGACUCGAAAGCAUGGGUAGCGAACAGGAUUAGAUACCCUGGUAGUCCAUGCCGUAAACGAUGAGUGCUAGGUGUUGGAGGGUUUCCGCCCUUCAGUGCCGGAGCUAACGCAUUAAGCACUCCGCCUGGGGAGUACGACCGCAAGGUUGAAACUCAAAGGAAUUGACGGGGGCCCGCACAAGCGGUGGAGCAUGUGGUUUAAUUCGAAGCUACGCGAAGAACCUUACCAGGUCUUGACAUCUUGCGCCAACCCUAGAGAUAGGGCGUUUCCUUCGGGAACGCAAUGACAGGUGGUGCAUGGUCGUCGUCAGCUCGUGUCGUGAGAUGUUGGGUUAAGUCCCGCAACGAGCGCAACCCUUGUUACUAGUUGCCAGCAUUAAGUUGGGCACUCUAGUGAGACUGCCGGUGACAAACCGGAGGAAGGUGGGGACGACGUCAGAUCAUCAUGCCCCUUAUGACCUGGGCUACACACGUGCUACAAUGGACGGUACAACGAGUCGCGAACUCGCGAGGGCAAGCAAAUCUCUUAAAACCGUUCUCAGUUCGGACUGCAGGCUGCAACUCGCCUGCACGAAGUCGGAAUCGCUAGUAAUCGCGGAUCAGCAUGCCGCGGUGAAUACGUUCCCGGGCCUUGUACACACCGCCCGUCACACCAUGAGAGUUUGUAACACCCAAAGUCGGUG
Molecule: ribosomal RNA, 828 nt
Filed under: Limosilactobacillus fermentum
Lineage: Bacteria; Bacillati; Bacillota; Bacilli; Lactobacillales; Lactobacillaceae
Description: bacterial SSU rRNA
Rfam family: Bacterial small subunit ribosomal RNA
Source: RNAcentral